GCACCGUCAACUAACCAGCUCGCAUGGCUUAGUGGUAAAGCGCAUGACUAGUAAUCAUGAGAUCCUCGGUUCGACUCCGAGUGUGAGCAU
Molecule: transfer RNA, 90 nt
Filed under: Penicillium egyptiacum
Lineage: Eukaryota; Fungi; Ascomycota; Eurotiomycetes; Eurotiales; Aspergillaceae
Description: tRNA-Thr
Rfam family: tRNA (bases 18-89)
About the family: Transfer RNA (tRNA) molecules are approximately 80 nucleotides in length. Their secondary structure includes four short double-helical elements and three loops (D, anti-codon, and T loops).
Source: RNAcentral